CCAGACUCCUACGGGAGGCAGCAGUGGGGAAUAUUGCACAAUGGGGGAAACCCUGAUGCAGCAACGCCGCGUGAAGGAAGACGGUUUUCGGAUUGUAAACUUCUGUUCUUAGUGAAGAAGAAUGACGGUAGCUAAGGAGCAAGCCACGGCUAACUACGUGCCAGCAGCCGCGGUAAUACGUAGGUGGCAAGCGUUGUCCGGAAUUACUGGGUGUAAAGGGAGCGCAGGCGGGAAGCCAAGUCAGCUGUGAAAACUACGGGCUUAACUUGUAGACUGCAGUUGAAACUGGUUUUCUUGAGUGAAGUAGAGGUUGGCGGAAUUCCGAGUGUAGCGGUGAAAUGCGUAGAUAUUCGGAGGAACACCGGUGGCGAAGGCGGCCAACUGGGCUUUAACUGACGCUGAGGCUCGAAAGUGUGGGGAGCAAACAGGAUUAGAUACCCCAGUA
This 445-nucleotide ribosomal RNA is filed under the name uncultured bacterium. RNAcentral's name for it is "bacterial SSU rRNA". It matches the Rfam family "Bacterial small subunit ribosomal RNA", at positions 331 to 792 of the family's 1533-position model. The record is from RNAcentral.